AGUGAACGCUGGCGGUAGGCCUAACACAUGCAAGUCGAACGGCAGCACAGUAAGAGCUUGCUCUUACGGGUGGCGAGUGGCGGACGGGUGAGGAAUACAUCGGAAUCUACUUUUUCGUGGGGGAUAACGUAGGGAAACUUACGCUAAUACCGCAUACGACCUACGGGUGAAAGCAGGGGAUCUUCGGACCUUGCGCGAUUGAAUGAGCCGAUGUCGGAUUAGCUAGUUGGCGGGGUAAAGGCCCACCAAGGCGACGAUCCGUAGCUGGUCUGAGAGGAUGAUCAGCCACACUGGAACUGAGACACGGUCCAGACUCCUACGGGAGGCAGCAGUGGGGAAGAUUGGACAAUGGGCGAGAGCGUGAUCCAGCCAUACCGCGUGGGUGAAGAAGGCCUUCGGGUUGUAAAGCCCUUUUGUUGGGAAAGAAAAGCAGCAGGUUAAUACCCCGCUGUUCUGACGGUACCCAAAGAAUAAGCACCGGCUAACUUCGUG
RNAcentral lists this ribosomal RNA (492 nucleotides) under uncultured bacterium. Its description in RNAcentral is "partial 16S ribosomal RNA". It matches the Rfam family "Bacterial small subunit ribosomal RNA", at positions 29 to 507 of the family's 1533-position model. The record is from RNAcentral.